UAAUAUCGCCUUCUUUUACCUUAUGGUUAAAGUUGGGCGGAUCUGGCUGUUCCAGCUAUGCAGUAUGUUUGCCUUCACCGGUAAACGUACAUCACGCACCUGGAUCAGCUGAAGACCAGAGGCUAACCAAGGACCCGUCAAGGGCCGCAACUGGGUGGGCUGUCAAAAGCUAUAUUCUUAGUUGUUGGUCUGGGACUUUGUGUUCGGCCCUCAAACAGGAACCUAUUAACCUAUUU
This 236-nucleotide unclassified non-coding RNA is filed under the name uncultured fungus. RNAcentral describes it as "partial internal transcribed spacer 2". The record is from RNAcentral. Lineage: Eukaryota; Fungi.